AUGGUUCCGCGCUCCACGCCCCCGGCGCAGUGCACGCCGGGCAAGAGGAAGACCUCCAGCAGCUCCCCGCGCAGCGCGGCUGUAUUUGCGGCCUGUGAGAGUAGGCGCUUCGGACCUGUGUCUCCCUGGCGAGCGGCGGGCAGAAAUCUUGAACAAGUGGAGCGCACUCGUCACCUGCAUCCUAGAAGGCCGCGAAGGCAGUACCGUUUCUUCAGCGGCGGGAAUAAUUCCUGCAGACCUGACACAUAACUGGAAGUAGAUAUUGAAUGAAUGAGUGAGUUGUAUGUGAAUAUUCGCUGAGAGGAAUCUCAGUUCAUUCUUAGCAUUUCAGAAAUUUGGCACAUAGUGUACUGAUGGAGCUAGUCUAAAAUAAUCUAUCCUGGGAGAAAUAAUUUUGUUUCUAUCUGGGUAAGUCUACAAUAGGGGAAUGCUUAUUAGCAGUAUUUUUUUUUUUUUUUUUUUUUGAGACGGAGUCUCGCUGUGUCCCAGCUGGGUCAGUGGCGCAUCUCUGCUCACUGCAAGCUCCACUCCGGUUUACGCAUUUCCGCUAGCCUCAAUAGCUGGAUACAGGCCCGCCCUCCCGGCUAUUUUUUGUAUUUUAGUAGAGGGGUUUCAUGUAGCAGGAUGUCUCGAUCUUCUACUCGUGAUCCACCCGCCUCGGCCUCCCAAAGUGCUGGGAUUACAGGCUUGAGCCACCGCGCCCGCCCUAUUAGCAGUAUUUUACUAUAUUUUGGAUACUUGCAGUAUUCUUAAGAGUGCAGAAAAAAGAAUAGUCUGAAAGAUUUAAAGAGAAAAAAGUGAAAAAAAGAAAAACUGAGUGCAUGCAUAUGUUGAGUAAUAGAGAUAAGUCUUCAGGGUUUCUUUUUGGACCAAAUUUCUUGAGAUAAAAUUUGCACACAAUAAAAUGCAUCUGUUUUAAUUUCAGUGAGUUUCAACAGAUGCAUAUACCUGUGUGACCACCGCCACACUAGAGAUAGGAAACACUUCCAUCAUAGGUUUCUGUUAUUUUAUUUAAUUUUUGGGAGGCCUUGCUCUGUCGCCCAGGCUGGAGUGCAGUGGUGUGAUCUCGGCUCAUUGCAACCUCCACCUCCUGGGCUCAAGCGAUUCUCCCAUCUCAGCCUCCUGAGUAUCUGGGACCAUAGUGCGUGCUACCACACCUGGCUAAUUUUUUGGUAGAGAUGGGGUUUCACCAUGUUGCCCAGGCUGGUCUUGAACUCCUGAGCUCAAGUGAUCCGCCUGCCUUGGCUUCCCAAAGUGCCGGGAUUACAGGCAUGAGCCACUGCACCUGGCCCAGGUUCCUGUUGUUAUUAUCAUGAGCUAUAAAGUUUCACACUUAGCAGGAAAAAGUGCUUUGAACCUUCUAAAAGUGAGAUACUUUCAAUAUUUUAAAAAAUACUAUAGAAAUGAUUUCAGUGCCAUAAGAUAACUGCAUUUCUCUCUCUUAAAUCCCACAUAUUAUAUAAUCCCUCAGCAAAUCCUAUUGGCUGCCUUCAAAAUAUAUCCAGGAUCCAACAACUUGAUAACGCUUUUACCACUACCACCUGUUCCAGGCCACCAUCUCUCCAGGCUACUGUCUCUUAUAUGGAUUAUUGUGCCAGUCUUUUUCUUCUAUCCUGUUCCCUUCCAGGCUUAACACAGUGGCCAGUGAUAAUGUUAAAAUGUGACAAGUCAAAAACUCUUCAAGGCCGGUCGCGGUGACUCAAGCCUGUAAUCCCAGCAUUUUGGGAGGCCGAGACGGGUGGAUCAUGAGGUCAGGAGAUCCAGACCAUCCUGGCUAACACAGUGAAACCCCGUCUCUACUAAAAAAUACAAAAAAAUAGUCGGGCGAGGUGGCGGGCGCCUGUACUCUUCAGUACAGGCGCCAACUACUCAGAAGGCUGAGGCAGGAGAAUGGCGGAAACCCGGGAGGCGGAGCUUGCAGUGAGCCGAGAUCUGGCCACUGCACUCCAGCCUGAGCGACAGAGCAAGACUCCAUCUCAAAAAAAAAAAAAACCUCUUCAAAUGAUUUUCAUCUCAUUCAGAGUUAAAACUAAAAUGUUUACAGUGUGCCCUACACACUACACGUAACACUCAGUAUUUAUUUCUGAUUUUCUUCAUUUAUUCUGCUCCAGUCAUACUGUUGGCCUUGCUGUUCCUCCCUCAAACACACCAUUCCUGCUUCAGCCUCUUUGUAUUUGUCUUUUCCUUUGCUUGGAAGUCUCUUUCCCCCAGAUAUGAAUAGGGCUUCCUGCCUCUGCCUCUUUUAAAUCUUUGUUCUAAUCUUCACCUUCUUGGUGAAGCCUAAUCACUGUAUUUAAAAUAAACUACUCUGUAGCUCUCUUCCCUAAUUUAUUUUUCUGCAAAGUACAUACCAACUUUCAAUGUAUUAUGAUUUAUUUUGUUUAACAUGUAUAGGUAACAACAGAUAAGCUUUGCUUAUGAUUAUAAAAAUUAGUUCUCAGGCCGGGCGCGGUGGCUCAAGCCUGUAAUCCCAGCACUUUGGGAGGCCGAGACGGGCGGAUCACGAGGUCAGGAGAUCGAGACCAUACUGGCUAACACAGUGAAACCCCGUCUCUACUAAAAAAUAUAAAAAACUAGCCGGGCGAGGUGGCGGGCGUCUGUAGUCCCAGCUACUUGGAAGGCUGAGGCAGGAGAAUGGCACAGACCCGGGAGGCGGAGCUUGCAGUGAGCUGAGAUCCGGCCACUGCACUCCAGCCUGGGUGACAGAGCGAGACUCCGUCUCAAAAAAAAAAAAAAAUUAGUUCUCAAUCAGUUUCACAUGGCAAAACAUAUAAACCUGUGUUGAAAUAAGUAGUUGGUAAUCUCCUUUUAGGCUGCUUAAAGUGGAGAUUAGUAUUUACCAAAGAUGAGAAAUGUUUUCUGAAUUUCCAUGAGACCAUUUUUUUUUUUUUGGAAUGGAGUCUCGCUUUGUCGCCCAGGCUGGAGUGCAGUGGUGUGGUCUCAGCUCACCGCAACCUCCGCCUCCCAGGUUUAAGCAAUUCUCCUGCCUCAGCCUCCUGAGUAGCUAGGACUACAGGCGCCUGCCACCACGCCUGGCUGAUUUUUGUUUUUGUUUUUGUUUUGAGACGGAGUCUCGCUCUGUCGCCCAGGCUGGAGUGCAGUGGCCGGAUCUCAGCUCACUGCAAGCUCCACCUCCUGGGUUCACGCCAUUCUCCUGCCUCAGCCUCCCGAGUAGCUGAGACUACAGGCGCCCGCCACCUCGCCCGGCUAGCUUUUUGUGUUUUUUAGUAGAGACGGGGUUUCACCCUGUUAGCCAGGAUGGUCUCGAUCUCCUGACCUCGUGAUCUGCCCGCCUCGGCCUCCCAAAGUGCUGGGAUUACAGGCUUGAGCCACCGCGCCCGGCCUGAUUUUUGUAUUUUUAACAGAGACAGGGUUUCACCGUGUUGGCCAGGCUGGCCUCGAACUCCUGACCUUGUGAUCUGCUCGCCUCGGCCUCCCAGAGUGCUGGGAUUACAGGCGUGAGCCACCUCACCCAGCCCAAUUUUUGUAUUUUCCGUGGAGAUGGGGUUUCACCAUGUUGGCCAGGCUGGUCUCCAACUCCUGACCUCCAGUGAUUUGCCCACCUCGGCCUCCCAAAGUGCUGGGAUUCCAGGCGUGAGUCACUGCCCCUGGCCGAGAGUUUUGCUUAUUAAGCAUUAUUUAUAUCUAAUACUAGUGGAGGGAAAGCGGUUCUAAAGAUGAAUUCAUGGCCCAGUCUUGUAACCAUUGUGAGGCUAGGCACUGGGCCAUUGCUAGGAUAUAGUAUGCGGCAUGAGAUAGUAUAAUAAAUUUGUUUAUUGAAGUCCUCAGAGUUUUGUUUACUGCUUUAUUCAUUAAUCAGUUUAUUCAACAGGUAUGAAAACCAACUACCCUAAGAAAGCGCUGAGAUAGGCUAUUAUAAUGUUCAUAGAAGAGCUUCUGUAAGUAGGACAGUAGUCCUUUCUGUUUUAAAAAGAGGUACAACCCCCAGUUUGGUUUUGGUCAAAGAGUUUUUUUUUUUUUUUUUUUUUUUGAGACGGAGUCUCGCUGUGUCUCCCAGGCUGGAGUGCAGUGGCCUGAUCUCGGCUCACUGCAAGCUCCGCCUCCCGGGUUCACGCCAUUCUCCUGCCUCAGCCUCCCAAGUAGCUGAGACUACAGGCGCCCGCCACCACGCCCGGCUAGUUUUUUGUAUUUUUAGUAGAGACGGGGUUUCACCAUGUUAGCCAGGAUAGUCUCGAUCUCCUGACCUCGUGAUCCACCCGCCUCGGCCUCCCAAACUGCUGGGAUUACAGGCUUGAGCCACCGCGCCCGGCCGGUCAAAGAGUUUUAUAGAAAGUUUAUUUUAAAACUCAACACAUUUACAGUCUUGCAAUCUUGUGUUUUUCCUUUGUUAAUAUGUAGUUAUAACCUACCUACUGUUUAAAAAGUUUCUAGUACCUCAGUUGCCAAGUAUAUUAAAUCCUCCUAGGGGCUGAGCGCAGUGGCUUAUGCCUGUAAUCCGAGCACUUUGGAAGGCCGAGGCCAAUCACUUGAGGCCAGGAGUUUGAGACCAGCCUGGCCAAACAUGGUGAAACCCCAUCUCUACUAAAAAUACAAAAAUUAACUGAGCUUGGUAGCAUGCACCUGGUGGUGUGCACAUGUAAUCCCAGCUAGGCUGAGGCAGGAGAAUCGCUUGAACCCGACAGGCGGAGGUUUCAGUGAGCCCAGAUGGUGCCUCUGCACUCCAGCCUGGGCGACAGAGCAAGACUCCAUCUAAGAAAAAAAUUCAUCCUAGGGAUUCUUUUACCUAUAAAGUUUUCUAAAUAUUUUAAGUAUGUUGUGUUUUCUGAAGUUGAAGUUUAGUUUUAUUGAAUAUGAUAUCCCAAUUUAAGUGAAAGGAAUUCUGAGGAAGUAGAGCGGUGAGCAUGUAGGUCAUGCUUUUCUAUUUUUAAAGAAAUGUCUAGUAAAUAGGUAAACAGAUACUGAACUUCAUUAGUCAUGAAGGAAAUGUAAAUUGCAAUAAGAGUGUAUUUUACUUAUAAAAUUAUGAUAAUUUUGACACUGAUCUAUUCUAACAUUGAUGAGGAUUUGAGGAAAGGGCAUACACAUAUUCUGGUGUGGGAGUAUACAUUUGUAUGCUAGUUUUCAGGGAUGCUUUUGGAGGUAAAAUUUGAAUACAUA
RNAcentral lists this long non-coding RNA (5118 nucleotides) under Macaca mulatta (Rhesus monkey). RNAcentral's name for it is "lncRNA (ENSMMUG00000059914.1)". The record is from RNAcentral. Lineage: Eukaryota; Metazoa; Chordata; Mammalia; Primates; Cercopithecidae.